This 747-nucleotide long non-coding RNA is filed under the name Brassica napus (rape). RNAcentral's name for it is "long non-coding RNA (BNAP_LNC008262)". Lineage: Eukaryota; Viridiplantae; Streptophyta; Magnoliopsida; Brassicales; Brassicaceae. The record is from RNAcentral.
UCUGAUCAAGAAACUUAAAGACCUCUCUGGUAUGGGAAGCUGAAGGCAACUGGCAACACCACACUCAGUGACAGGCAAGAUUCAGCUGUCUUCAGUUACAAAAACCAAAAAAAGAAGAUUCAGCUGACUUUUUUCCUCCACAGGCCUAAGAUAGAAUUCAUGUAUCAGGACAAAUAUCAGGUCUGACUAGAAAAAGAAAAAAAAAAGGUUAAGAGAGUAUUCAAGAGGAUAAAAGCAAAAAUCAUAAAACUAUAUAUAAAAGUUAGAAUCACAUAAUUGUCCCAAGUAAAACUGCUGGAAAUAAAUUGGACAAAAACGACUUGAAAAUACUUUAAUCUCAUUAAUUUGUAGGCCUGUCAAACAGUAUAGUACAGUAUGUAUUCAAGGUUUCCCACAUAUGAAGAAGGAAAAAAUGGGAUUGACAUCUAUCUUAAGGUAUACCCUUCUCUUGGAUCUUGUAGAAAGAUACAUUUUAAUAUCCUAUCUAACAUAGGAACACCAAAACCAUGUAUUUGAUACAUGAUCCAUAACAGCUUUGAUAAAGGAAACUAACCUGCAAGCUAGAUACUCAUGAUGGCUGCCUUUCUGCUUCAACACCGCAGAUCAGGAGAAGCAACGGCAACUGCCGCAUCCGUACGAUAAACCUUGUGCAGGAGACUUGCAGUUUCUGAAGCACAUUUUUCAAUAGCGGAUCAAAACAGCUCGGAGAAGAGCACAAACUUCCGGUAAGAGAUAGGUUGGAAACUC